This 73-nucleotide transfer RNA is filed under the name Pteropus alecto (black flying fox). It matches the Rfam family "tRNA". Rfam says of the family: Transfer RNA (tRNA) molecules are approximately 80 nucleotides in length. Their secondary structure includes four short double-helical elements and three loops (D, anti-codon, and T loops). Further hydrogen bonds mediate the characteristic L-shaped molecular structure. tRNAs have two regions of fundamental functional importance: the anti-codon, which is responsible for specific mRNA codon recognition, and the 3' end, to which the tRNAs corresponding amino acid is attached (by aminoacyl-tRNA synthetases). tRNAs cope with the degeneracy of the genetic code in two manners: having more than one tRNA (with a specific anti-codon) for a particular amino acid; and 'wobble' base-pairing, i.e. permitting non-standard base-pairing at the 3rd anti-codon position. Lineage: Eukaryota; Metazoa; Chordata; Mammalia; Chiroptera; Pteropodidae. The record is from Rfam by way of RNAcentral.
GGUUCCAUGGCCUAGAGGUUAGCAUGACUGCUUUGCACGCAGAAGGUCCUGGGUUCUCGACCCAGUGGAGCCA